AUGGGGAAUAGCUGUGCAGGGCAGAGAACCAGCACGGCGAGAGCAGCCUGGCCUUCAACCUCACCGUGGAGUGUGAGAAUGGGGGAAAAAAAUGGGAUUUUGGGAAAAAACGGGGAAAAAAUGGGAAAAACGGGGGGAAAAUGGGAAAAAAUUGAGUUUUUUGGGACAAAAAUGGGGAUUUUGGGAAGGAAAAUGGGGAGUACCUGUGCAGGGCGGAGAACCAGCACGGCGAGAGCAGCCUGGCCUUCAACCUCACCGUGGAGUGUGAGAAUGGGGAAAAAAACGGGAUUUUGGGAAAAAACGGGGGAAAAAAUGGGAUUUUGGGGUGAAAAAUGGGGAUUUUGGGAAGGAAAAUGGGGAAUAGCUGUGCAGGGCGGAGAACCAGCACGGCGAGAGCAGCCUGGCCUUCAACCUCACCGUGGAGUACCCUCCGGUGGUGCUCCCCGAGUCCCGCUGCUCCCCGCUGCCCCAGGGCUCCGCUCGCUGUGUCUGCACCCCCGAACCCCAGAGACCCCCAAAAUACCCCAAAAACACCCGAAAUCACCCCAAAAACACCCGAAAUCACCCCAAAACACCUGAAAUCACCCCAAAAUCCUGUCCUUUCACCCCCAGACCCGCCGGUGGUGCUCCCCGAGUCCCGCUGCUCCCCGCUGCCCCAGGGCUCCGCUCGCUGUGUCUGCACCCCUGAACCCCAGAGACCCCCAAAAUACCCCAAAAUCACCCCAAAAUCCCCCAAAAUCC
Molecule: long non-coding RNA, 741 nt
Filed under: Cyanistes caeruleus (blue tit)
Lineage: Eukaryota; Metazoa; Chordata; Aves; Passeriformes; Paridae
Description: lncRNA (ENSCCEG00000006746.1)
Source: RNAcentral